This 98-nucleotide ribosomal RNA is filed under the name Flavobacteriaceae bacterium. The record is from RNAcentral. Lineage: Bacteria; Pseudomonadati; Bacteroidota; Flavobacteriia; Flavobacteriales; Flavobacteriaceae.
AGCGUCGGGGCUCACCCCUCUCCAUUCCGAACAGGGAAGUUAAGCCCGAUUGCGCCGAUGAUACUGCAUCUAUGUGGAAAAGUAGGUCGCCGCCUUCU